UUAAUAAAUCGUUCUAUCGUGCCAGAAAUGGUAAGGAAAGUCCGGACAGCGUAGAGUGCCAUACCUUAUGAAAGUGGGGGUGCCUUAGGGUAACAGAUAGUGCUACAGAGAAUAUACCGCUCUUUUAAAGAGUAAGGGUGAAAAGGUGAGGUAAGAGCUUACCGCUCGGAGGGUAACUGAAGAGGCUAAGAAAACCUUAUGGGCUGCAAGGUCAAAUAAACCGGAUAUAGAGUUGCUCGCUCUUCCGGAGGGUAGACUGCUUAGAUAAAUGAUAGAAGACCGACUUGUCGGUGACAGAAUCCGGCUUAUAGAUUUAUUCAUUAA
This 324-nucleotide RNase P RNA is filed under the name Flavobacteriales bacterium. Its description in RNAcentral is "RNase P RNA component class A". It matches the Rfam family "Bacterial RNase P class A". From Rfam's summary of the family: Ribonuclease P (RNase P) is a ubiquitous endoribonuclease, found in archaea, bacteria and eukarya as well as chloroplasts and mitochondria. Lineage: Bacteria; Pseudomonadati; Bacteroidota; Flavobacteriia; Flavobacteriales. The record is from RNAcentral.